UUAAAUUUAAUUUAAUUACACACAUUUCUCAAAUAUUUAAAUUUUUCAUUUGUCAAUAUAGGAAAUUUGUGUGCAUCAUUUGUUCAAGAACACAAUCAAAUAAUCUGAUCGACGACCAUUUUCAUCUUUCAAAUUGUCAAUAUAUUUAGUCUCCACAAAAUCGCAUUCGAUUUGAUCGAGAUGAAGAUGAAAACAUUUUUAGUUUAUAAACAAUGUUUAUUUAUUAAUAUUUGGCAAAUGGUUGAUGGUCAUUUCAUCGAAAUUGAAUUUGUUUUCUUUUCUCUCGAAUCAUUUGGGUUUAAUAAUAAUUUAGUUGAAUUCUGAUCCAUGUCUAAUGUCUAUUAUCAUCAUCAUCAUCAUCAUUAUUAUGAUUAUUACCAAUAAACCCGAUAAUCAUUAUCAUUAUAAUAAUGAUUAUUAUUAUAAUAAUAUUCGAUUUAUCGUAAAUCGAUCAGUAUCAAAGUCACAUAGUUGUUUCAUCCAAUUCGUAAUGAUGAUUGACCUUAUAUUACUUAUUUUUUUUGUAUAUUGGGAUUACUUGGUAACCCGGUGAUGUUGAUGAAGUUGAUGAUGAUGAUGAUGAUGAUGAUGGCGGUGGCGAUGAACGUGAAGAAAACCAAAAAAUAAACAAAAUGUGGUACUAGGUUAUUAUUUAUAUAUUAUAUUUGCAGAUUUUGUUCAGCUGUGCUUCAUGUUCUUUUUGACUACAAACAUUUUUUUUUCUUUGUUACCAAAAAAAACAACAACAACAACGAUAUCCAAAUCAUCAUUAUCAUUUAUAUAAAUUAAACAACAAUAUAUAUUCUCGUUUUUUUUCGGUUUUUCCAUAGAUAAGAUGUUCGAAUAUUUAUUACAUUUUCUUAUUUGGAUAUGCCCGACUAUGCCAGUGUGUGAUUCACCAUCAACAUAGAACAUUGAUAACUUGACCUCUCUUUCUGUCUUUUGUCCAAAAACAAAAACAAAAAAAAAUAAAAAUUCCUGUAAUUUUUAUCCACUUGUGUUUAUAUAAAACAUUUAGACAAUUAACCGUUGGCCAUUAUCAUCAUCAUAGGUUACACUGUUUGCUUUAAAUGUCUCUGUGGAUUUAAGAUAAAUUCUUGUCGCAAACAUCCAGAUGAAUGAAUGAAUGAAUGCAUGCAUGCACAUGUAUGAAUGUGUGUGUGUGUGUAUGUUUAAAAACGAUCCAUUGGCCAAUUCUAUUAUCAUCAUCAUCAUCAUCAUCAUAAUGACCAUGUCCAGAAUAUUAUUUUUUUUCUUUUGUUUUUUGUUCAUAUAUUCUAUUGUUAUUAUUUGCACAAUAAUGGUGUAUGUAUGGAACCAUUGUCAUGUUAUGUAAAGACUAUGGUGUGUAUUGUUUUUUGUUGUGGAAAUUAAAGAACAAAAAAAAAAAAGUUUAAA
Molecule: non-coding RNA, 1398 nt
Organism: Dermatophagoides farinae (American house dust mite)
Lineage: Eukaryota; Metazoa; Arthropoda; Arachnida; Sarcoptiformes; Pyroglyphidae
Source: RefSeq, a predicted model, not a curated record